RNAcentral lists this ribosomal RNA (253 nucleotides) under uncultured bacterium. RNAcentral describes it as "partial 16S ribosomal RNA". It matches the Rfam family "Bacterial small subunit ribosomal RNA", at positions 524 to 776 of the family's 1533-position model. The record is from RNAcentral.
UACGAAGGGGGCUAGCGUUGUUCGGAAUCACUGGGCGUAAAGCGCACGUAGGCGGAUUGUUAAGUCGGGGGUGAAAUCCCGGGGCUCAACCUCGGAACUGCCUUUGAUACAGCAAGUCUUGAGUUCGAGAGAGGUGGGUGGAAUUCCUAGUGUAGAGGUGAAAUUCGUAGAUAUUAGGAAGAACACCGGUGGCGAAGGCGGCCCACUGGCUCGACACUGACGCUGAGGUGCGAAAGCGUGGGGAGCAAACAGG